Long non-coding RNA from Vidua macroura (Pin-tailed whydah), 665 nucleotides. RefSeq lists it as uncharacterized. NCBI's taxonomy places the organism in Eukaryota, Metazoa, Chordata, Aves, Passeriformes, Viduidae. The transcript has 3 exons. The record is from RefSeq and is a predicted model, not a curated record.
GGAUGCAACAGGGGAUUGAGGAGGUGACUAUAUUCCUCCAUAAGAAACUCCAUCACUCUCCCCAGAUGAAAGGUAGCAGAAUGUCAUGAUGCAGUGCACAAGGAAGAGUUGAAGUGUGACCUGGAUUUGAGGAAAACCAGUAAGCAGGGUGGCAUUUAGCCAAUUGUCAUUUUGCUUGAAGAUGUGGAAGGAACAUCAGAAAAGCUUCACAAGAAAGAAGAAAAAUAUGCCAGGUUUUGUCCAUUCUGGUGAGCCUUCCUGGACUUCAGAAAAAGAAGGAAAAAAAAAAAGAGUUCCAACAGUGGGAAACUCAAAUAUUUGUAACAUAAGGAGUUAUAAGUCCAUCCUCCACAGCAGACAGCUUGGAGCUAUCAGACCCCACUUCCUUGGCAUCCGGCCCAAAUGGCACAAUCGAGUCAUAUCAGUAUCCAUAUGGGGCAGAUUAUUCUUCAUUUGGGUGACUUUGAUGCAAAAAUAGACAAUAUCACACCUUCUGGUGUCAGGCUGCAGCACACAAUGCUUCCAUAUCCACCUCUUUACAAUCACACCAGUAAAUGUAUUUUUUUGGAAUGAAACAGGAGGGGAAAUGGUGAGACCCUUCAGUAGAUACCCUCUGUAUAUCCCAAGGUGCUACAGCUCCUAGGAGCCGUGCUAAUAAUUUUAAA